RNAcentral lists this ribosomal RNA (468 nucleotides) under uncultured bacterium. RNAcentral's name for it is "partial 16S ribosomal RNA". It matches the Rfam family "Bacterial small subunit ribosomal RNA", at positions 28 to 507 of the family's 1533-position model. The record is from RNAcentral.
GACGAACGCUGGCGGCGUGCUUAACACAUGCAAGUCGAACGGAAAGGCCCUGCUUUUGUGGGGUGCUCGAGUGGCGAACGGGUGAGUAACACGUGAGUAACCUGCCCUUGACUUUGGGAUAACUUCAGGAAACUGGGGCUAAUACCGGAUAGGAGCUCCUGCUGCAUGGUGGGGGUUGGAAAGUUUCGGCGGUUGGGGAUGGACUCGCGGCUUAUCAGCUUGUUGUUGGGGUAAUGGCUUACCAAGGCUUUGACGGGUAGCCGGCCUGAGAGGGUGACCGGCCACAUUGGGACUGAGAUACGGCCCAGACUCCUACGGGAGGCAGCAGUGGGGAAUAUUGCACAAUGGGCGGAAGCCUGAUGCAGCAACGCCGCGUGCGGGAUGACGGCCUUCGGGUUGUAAACCGCUUUCGCCUGUGACGAAGCGUGAGUGACGGUAAUGGGUAAAGAAGCACCGGCUAACUACGUG